AGAGUUUGAUCCUGGCUCAGGACGAACGCUGGCGGCGUGCUUAACACAUGCAAGUCGAACGGAAAGGCCCUUCGGGGUGCUCGAGUGGCGAACGGGUGAGUAACACGUGGGUGAUCUGCCCUGCACUUUGGGAUAAGCCUGGGAAACUGGGUCUAAUACCGAAUAGGACUGCGCUCUUCAUGGGGUGUGGUGGAAAGCUUUUGCGGUGUGGGAUGGGCCCGCGGCCUAUCAGCUUGUUGGUGGGGUAAUGGCCUACCAAGGCGACAACGGGUAGCCGGCCUGAGAGGGUGACCGGCCACACUGGGACUGAGAUACGGCCCAGACUCCUACGGGAGGCAGCAGUGGGGAAUAUUGCACAAUGGGCGCAAGCCUGAUGCAGCGACGCCGCGUGAGGGAUGACGGCCUUCGGGUUGUAAACCUCUUUCAGCACAGACGAAGCGCGAGUGACGGUAUGUGCAGAAGAAGGACCGGCCAACUACGUGCCAGCAGCCGCGGUAAUACGUAGGGUCCGAGCGUUGUCCGGAAUUACUGGGCGUAAAGAGCUCGUAGGUGGUUUGUCGCGUUGUUCGUGAAAACUCACAGCUUAACUGUGGGCGUGCGGGCGACACGGGCAGACUGGAGUACUGCAGGGGAGACUGGAAUUCCUGGUGUAGCGGUGGAAUGCGCAGAUAUCAGGAGGAACACCGGUGGCGAAGGCGGGUCUCUGGGCAGUAACUGACGCUGAGGAGCGAAAGCGUGGGGAGCGAACAGGAUUAGAUACCCUGGUAGUCC
This 771-nucleotide ribosomal RNA is filed under the name uncultured bacterium. RNAcentral's name for it is "bacterial SSU rRNA". It matches the Rfam family "Bacterial small subunit ribosomal RNA", at positions 8 to 796 of the family's 1533-position model. The record is from RNAcentral.